Molecule: ribosomal RNA, 422 nt
Filed under: uncultured bacterium
Lineage: Bacteria
Description: partial 16S ribosomal RNA
Rfam family: Bacterial small subunit ribosomal RNA
Source: RNAcentral
AAUCUUGGACAAUGGGGGACACCCUGAUCCAGCCAUCCCGCGUGUAUGAUGAAGGCUUUCGGGUUGUAAAGUCCUUUUUGCAGCGAAGAAAAGGUACCUCCUAAUACGAGGUACUGCUGACGGUAUCUGCAGAAUAAGCCCCGGCUAACUACGUGCCAGCAGGCGCGGUAAUACGUAGGGUGCAAUCGUUAAUCGGAAGUACUGGGCGUAAAGCGUGUGUAGGCGGUUCGGAAAGAAAGAUGUGAAAUCCCAGGGCUCAACCUUGGAACUGCAUUUUUAACUGCCGAGCUAGAGUAUGUCAGAGGGGGGUAGAAUUCCACGUGUAGCAGUGAAAUGCGUAGAUAUGUGGAGGAAUACCGAUGGCGAAGGCAGCCCCCUGGGAUAAUACUGACGCUCAGACACGAAAGCGUGGGGAGCAAACA